UAUAUUUUAUUUAUUAAUUGAUUUUUUUUUUUAUUAUAAAUUAUUAAAAAUAAUUAUUAUAUGAUUUGUUUGAGUAUUUUAUAAAGAAAAAAUAAUUUUAAUUAUAGUUAAAUAGUAUUGUGAAAGAAAAUUGAAAUAAUUUGAAAAAUUAAUAUAUUAAAAGAAAAUUUAAUUUAUUGUACCUUGUGUAUCAGGGUUUAUUAAUUAAAAAUUAUUUAGUAUAAUUUUCUCGAUUUUAAAAGAGUUAAUAUAUUAUAAAAGUUAAUGUGACAAAAUUAUUUUAUAUAAUAUAUUAGAAAUGAAAUGUUAUUCGUUUUUAAAGGUAUCUAGUUCUUUAAGAAAUAAAUUUAAUUUAGAAAUAUUAUAUCAUUUAGUUAAAUAAAUUAACUAAAUAAUUAUUUUAUUUUAAUAUUUUAUGGGAUAAGCUAUGAAAUAAAUUAUUAAAAAUUAUUAAAUAAUUUAAUAAAUAUAAGCUUAGAAAUAGCUAUUAUUAAUGAAAUUGUUAUAAUUUAUUUUAUAAUAUUUAUUAUUUAUUAAAUUUUAAUUAUGUAUUAAAGUAUUUAUUUUAAUUUUAAAAAUAAAAAAAUAAUGAUAAAAUUAGUAUAUUAUAUUGUAUAAAUAUUAUUAAUUGAAAAGUUUUUAUAAAGAACUCGGCAAAAAUAAUGUUCGCCUGUUUAACAAAAACAUGUCUUUUUGAAUUUUUUUUAAAGUCUAGCCUGCCCACUGAAUAAUUUAAAUGGCCGCAGUAUACUAACUGUGCAAAGGUAGCAUAAUCAUUAGUCUUUUAAUUGAAGGCUGGUAUGAAUGGUUGGACGAGAUAUUAACUGUUUCAUAAAAAUUUAUAAUAGAAUUUUAUUUUUUAGUCAAAAAGCUAAAAUAUAAUUAAAAGACGAGAAGACCCUAUAAAUCUUUAUAUAUAGAUUAUUAGAAUUUUGUAGAUUUUUUUUAUUAUAAUAGUUAAUUAUAUUUUAUUGGGGUGAUAUUAAAAUUUAAUAAACUUUUAAUUUUAUAAGUCAUUAAUUUAUGAAUAAUUGAUCCGUUAAUAGCGAUUAAAAAAAUAAGUUACUUUAGGGAUAACAGCGUAAUUUUUUUGGAGAGUUCAUAUCGAUAAAAAAGAUUGCGACCUCGAUGUUGGAUUAAGAUAUAAUUUUAGGUGUAGCCGCUUAAAUUUUAAGUCUGUUCGACUUUUAAAUUCUUACAUGAUCUGAGUUCAAACCGGCGUAAGCCAGGUUGGUUUCUAUCUUUAAAAAAUUAAAAUAUUUCAGUACGAAAGGACCUAAUAUUUAAUAAAUAAUUAUUUUUAUAUUGAAUAUAAUUAAUUUAU
Molecule: ribosomal RNA, 1324 nt
Filed under: Sarcophaga pingi
Lineage: Eukaryota; Metazoa; Arthropoda; Insecta; Diptera; Sarcophagidae
Description: 16S ribosomal RNA
Rfam family: Archaeal large subunit ribosomal RNA (bases 1073-1232)
Source: RNAcentral